GACGAACGCUGGCGGCGUGCUUAACACAUGCAAGUCGAACGAUGAAGCCGGAGCUUGCUCUGGUGAAUUAGUGGCGAACGGGUGAGUAACACGUGAGUAACCUGCCCUUGACUCUGGGAUAACUGCGGGAAACUGUAGCUAAUACCGGAUACGACCCUCGGAGGCAUCUCCUGGGGGUGGAAAGAAUUUCGGUCAAGGAUGGACUCGCGGCCUAUCAGCUAGUUGGUGAGGUAAAGGCUCACCAAGGCGACGACGGGUAGCCGGCCUGAGAGGGUGACCGGCCACACUGGGGCUGAGACACGGCCCAGACUCCUACGGGAGGCAGCAGUGGGGAAUAUUGCACAAUGGGAGCAAGCCUGAUGCAGCAACGCCGCGUGAGGGAUGACGGCCUUCGGGUUGUAAACCUCUUUUAGCAGGGAAGAAGCGAAAGUGACGGUACCUGCAGAAAAAGCACCGGCUAACUACGUGCCAGCCGCCGCUGUAA
This 484-nucleotide ribosomal RNA is filed under the name uncultured bacterium. RNAcentral describes it as "partial 16S ribosomal RNA". It matches the Rfam family "Bacterial small subunit ribosomal RNA", at positions 28 to 523 of the family's 1533-position model. The record is from RNAcentral.